GAUGAACGCUGGCGGCGUGCCUAAUACAUGCAAGUCGAGCGAACAGACGAGGAGCUUGCUCCUCUGACGUUAGCGGCGGACGGGUGAGUAACACGUGGAUAACCUACCUAUAAGACUGGGAUAACUUCGGGAAACCGGAGCUAAUACCGGAUAAUAUUUUGAACCGCAUGGUUCAAUAGUGAAAGACGGUUUUGCUGUCACUUAUAGAUGGAUCCGCGCCGCAUUAGCUAGUUGGUAAGGUAACGGCUUACCAAGGCGACGAUGCGUAGCCGACCUGAGAGGGUGAUCGGCCACACUGGAACUGAGACACGGUCCAGACUCCUACGGGAGGCAGCAGUAGGGAAUCUUCCGCAAUGGGCGAAAGCCUGACGGAGCAACGCCGCGUGAGUGAUGAAGGUCUUCGGAUCGUAAAACUCUGUUAUUAGGGAAGAACAAAUGUGUAAGUAACUAUGCACAUCUUGACGGUACCUAAUCAGAAAGCCACGGCUAACUACGUG
Molecule: ribosomal RNA, 497 nt
Filed under: uncultured bacterium
Lineage: Bacteria
Description: partial 16S ribosomal RNA
Rfam family: Bacterial small subunit ribosomal RNA
Source: RNAcentral